This 253-nucleotide ribosomal RNA is filed under the name uncultured bacterium. RNAcentral describes it as "partial 16S ribosomal RNA". It matches the Rfam family "Bacterial small subunit ribosomal RNA", at positions 524 to 776 of the family's 1533-position model. The record is from RNAcentral.
UACAGAGGGUGCGAGCGUUGUUCGGAAUUACUGGGCGUAAAGCGUGCGUAGACGGUUGCGUAAGUCAGAUGUGAAAGCCCCGGGCUCAACCUGGGAAUUGCAUUUGAGACUGCGUAGCUAGGGUGCGGAAGAGGGAAGCGGAAUUUCCGGUGUAGCGGUGAAAUGCGUAGAUAUCGGAAGGAACACCAGUGGCGAAAGCGGCUUCCUGGUCCAGCACCGACGUUCAGGCACGAAAGCGUGGGGAGCAAACAGG